RNAcentral lists this ribosomal RNA (635 nucleotides) under Vogesella indigofera. RNAcentral's name for it is "bacterial SSU rRNA". It matches the Rfam family "Bacterial small subunit ribosomal RNA", at positions 117 to 748 of the family's 1533-position model. The record is from RNAcentral. Lineage: Bacteria; Pseudomonadati; Pseudomonadota; Betaproteobacteria; Neisseriales; Chromobacteriaceae.
AUCGGAACGUACCGUGUAGUGGGGGAUAACGUAGCGAAAGUUACGCUAAUACCGCAUACGAUCUACGGAUGAAAGCAGGGGACCUUCGGGCCUUGUGCUAUACGAGCGGCCGAUGUCUGAUUAGCUAGUUGGUGAGGUAAAGGCUCACCAAGGCGACGAUCAGUAGCGGGUCUGAGAGGAUGAUCCGCCACACUGGGACUGAGACACGGCCCAGACUCCUACGGGAGGCAGCAGUGGGGAAUUUUGGACAAUGGGCGCAAGCCUGAUCCAGCCAUGCCGCGUGUCUGAAGAAGGCCUUCGGGUUGUAAAGGACUUUUGUCAGGGAGCAAAACUUACUGGUUAAUACCCGGUGAGGCUGAGAGUACCUGAAGAAUAAGCACCGGCUAACUACGUGCCAGCAGCCGCGGUAAUACGUAGGGUGCAAGCGUUAAUCGGAAUUACUGGGCGUAAAGCGUGCGCAGGCGGACUUUUAAGCCAGAUGUGAAAGCCCCGAGCUUAACUUGGGAAUUGCGUUUGGAACUGGGAGUCUAGAGUCUGUCAGAGGGGGAUGGAAUUCCACGUGUAGCAGUGAAAUGCGUAGAGAUGUGGAGGAACACCGAUGGCGAAGGCAGUCCCCUGGGAUAAGACUGACGCUC